RNAcentral lists this ribosomal RNA (745 nucleotides) under uncultured bacterium. RNAcentral describes it as "bacterial SSU rRNA". It matches the Rfam family "Bacterial small subunit ribosomal RNA", at positions 8 to 796 of the family's 1533-position model. The record is from RNAcentral.
AGAGUUUGAUCAUGGCUCAGAACGAACGCUGGCGGCAUGCCUAACACAUGCAAGUCGAACGCCUGUAGCAAUACAGGAGUGGCGCACGGGUGAGUAACGCGUGGGAACCUGCCUAGUGGUAAGGAAUAACCGCGGGAAACUGCGGCUAAUACCUUAUGAGCCCCUACGGGGGAAAGAUUUAUCGCCAUUAGAGGGGCCCGCGUCCGAUUAGCUAGUUGGUGAGGUAACGGCUCACCAAGGCGACGAUCGGUAGCUGGUCUGAGAGGAUGAUCAGCCACACUGGGACUGAGACACGGCCCAGACUCCUACGGGAGGCAGCAGUGGGGAGUAUUGGACAAUGGGGGCAACCCUGAUCCAGCAAUGCCGCGUGAGUGAUGAAGGCCUUAGGGUUGUAAAGCUCUUUCGACGGGGAAGAUGAUGACGGUACCCGUAGAAGAAGCCCCGGCUAACUUCGUGCCAGCAGCCGCGGUAAUACGAAGGGGGCUAGCGUUGUUCGGAUUUACUGGGCGUAAAGGGCGCGUAGGCGGUGCAAUAAGUCAGGCGUGAAAGCCCCGGGCUCAACCCGGGAAUUGCGCUUGAUACUGUUGCGCUUGAAUCCAGGAGAGGAUGGCGGAAUUCCCAGUGUAGAGGUGAAAUUCGUAGAUAUUGGGAAGAACACCAGUGGCGAAGGCGGCCAUCUGGCCUGGAAUUGACGCUGAGGCGCAAAAGCGUGGGGAGCAAACAGGAUUAGAUACCCUCGUAGUCC